CCCUUAGAUGUUCUGGGCUGCACGCGCGCUACACUGAUGCAUUCAACGAGUUUCUUCCUGGUCCGAGAGGAAUGGGUAACCUUUUGAAAGUGCAUCGUGAUAGGGAUAGACUAUUGCAAUUAUUGGUCUUCAACGAGGAAUUCCUAGUAGACGUAGUUCAUCAGACUGCAUCGAUUACGUCCCUGCCCUUUGUACACACCGCCCGUCGCUCCUACCGAUUGAAUGCUCAGGUGAGCCAUUCGGACUUUCAUCAUGCUGGUUUCCAGUUUUGAUGAAGGAAAGUCUUGCGAACCUUAUCAUUUAGAGGAAGGAGAAGUCGUAACA
This 324-nucleotide ribosomal RNA is filed under the name uncultured eukaryote. RNAcentral's name for it is "partial 18S ribosomal RNA". It matches the Rfam family "Eukaryotic small subunit ribosomal RNA", at positions 1470 to 1796 of the family's 1831-position model. The record is from RNAcentral.